Long non-coding RNA from Cynocephalus volans (Philippine flying lemur), 337 nucleotides. RefSeq lists it as uncharacterized. Lineage: Eukaryota; Metazoa; Chordata; Mammalia; Dermoptera; Cynocephalidae. The transcript has 3 exons. The record is from RefSeq and is a predicted model, not a curated record.
UACCCGCAAGGUAAACCCCAAGACUUCUAGAGCCGUAUUUCUUAAUAGACUGCAAAGAGCUGGCCUUGAAAGAACAACAUAAAGCAGGAAAGAGCAUUCUCAGCAGUGAUUUCCACUUAACCUGCAAAGCAUGAGAAACUUUGAGGAAUUUAUCAAGAAAUACGGCAAAGUUUGUUUGAAAGUACAAGUGUCUGAGAUAGAAUUACGCCAAGACUUUCCCUGGAUUCUACAUCUCCACUCACCAACUCUGGAUCAUUAUCCCAUGGGAAGUUGCACAUCUGUGCCUGUGCCAGAAACUCCAAAUGCCGGCAAGAGGCUCUUCUCUGCUUUUCAUACU